AGUAACGGCGAGUGAACGGGGAAGAGUCCAUAGCCGAAUCCUGCACUUAACGGUGCGGGAAAUGUGGCGUGUGGGAGUCGACAUUCUUCGAGUGCGGCUGGCGGCGCAAGUUCCCAUGAGAGGGGCACUUAUCCGGAGCGGGUGCUAGGCCCGUACCGCUGCUGGCCCGCGCGCGAAGUCGUCGGCCUCCCGGGAGUCGGGUUGCUUGGGAGUGCAGCCCAAAGUGGGUGGUAAACUCCACCUAAGACUAAAUACGACCGAGAGACCGAUAGCAAACAAGUACCAUGAGGGAAAGUUGAAAAGCACUUUGAAGAGAGAGUUCAAGAGUACGUGAAACCGUUCAGAGGUAAACGGGUGGGGCCUCGAAGUCCUAAGUCGGUGGUGCACUCAGGUCGGCGACGCUCGCCGGUCCGUUAGGUGCUGCUCCACGAGCGGAGGAGCCGAGCGGAUCUUUCGGCAGCGUUGACGUAUCGCACUUGCAUCCCCCGUCUAGCAGGGCGUCGCAAUCGGUUGGUAGGCCGUCAAAGGACGGACCGAAAGGUAGCCGCUUUUCCUUCGGGAUUCGCGGUGUUACAGGCGGAACGAUUCCCGACGGGUCUGCCGACCGAGGUGAUUUACUGGCGUUCCCUUCCCACGAGAGGGGGCGGUGAGUCGGGAGUAGCGGUUACGACGCGUCGUGACACCGGAACUGUGAACGAUUCGUUUGUGGCCCGUCUAUCUCUCGAUUCGGCUGCCGGGAGCCAGGGAUUGGCGGCGAGUAGGUCGGUUACCCACCCGACCCGUCUUGAAACACGGACCAAGGAGUCUAAUGCGCGUGCGAGUUCCCGGGACUUGAUUAGGCCCGAGGGCGCAAUAAAAGUGAAUGGCGGUUCGGCCUCCAGAGUUGGGAUCCCGCACCUUCCGGGUGCGGGCGCACCGACGGCCCGUUCAUGCCGAUUUCGGCGGGGCGGAGCUAGAGCACGCGCAUUGGGACCCGAUAGAUAGUGAACUAUGCCUGGGCAGGACGAAGCCAGAGGAAACUCUGGUGGAGGUCCGCAGCGAUUCUGACGUGCAAAUCGAUCGUCAGACCUUGGUAUA
Molecule: ribosomal RNA, 1077 nt
Filed under: Philomaoria sp. JM-2008
Lineage: Eukaryota; Metazoa; Arthropoda; Arachnida; Pseudoscorpiones; Cheliferidae
Description: eukaryotic LSU rRNA
Rfam family: Eukaryotic large subunit ribosomal RNA
Source: RNAcentral